RNAcentral lists this ribosomal RNA (477 nucleotides) under Candidatus Scalindua brodae. RNAcentral describes it as "bacterial SSU rRNA". It matches the Rfam family "Bacterial small subunit ribosomal RNA", at positions 365 to 832 of the family's 1533-position model. Lineage: Bacteria; Pseudomonadati; Planctomycetota; Candidatus Brocadiia; Candidatus Brocadiales; Candidatus Scalinduaceae. The record is from RNAcentral.
UUCGCAAUGCCCGAAAGGGUGACGAAGCGACGCCGCGUGGGUGAGGAAGGCCCUCGGGUUGUAAAGCCCUGUCAGGAGUUAAGAAAUGUAGGUACGCUAAUAUCGUAUUUAUUUGACAAAGGCUCCAAAGGAAGCCACGGCUAACUCUGUGCCAGCAGCCGCGGUAAUACAGAGGUGGCAAGCGUUGUUCGGAAUUAUUGGGCGUAAAGAGCACGUAGGUGGAUUUGUAAGUCAGAUGUGAAAGCCUUCUGUUCAACGGGAGAAUUGCAUCUGAAACUGCGAGUCUUGAGUGUAGGAGGGGAGAAUGGAACUUCUGGUGGAGCGGUGAAAUGCGUAGAUAUCAGAAGGAACGCCGGCGGCGAAAGCGAUUCUCUGGCCUAUUACUGACACUCAGUGUGCGAAAGCUAGGGGAGCAAACGGGAUUAGAUACCCCGGUAGUCCUAGCCGUAAACGAUGGGCACUAAGUAGAGGGGUUUU